AAUGCAAGGAAUUAGCUUAUCUACAAGAUUGUGCUAGUGCCAAGACUGACUUCCAGAGCAUCCUGGUGCAUUGACCUUCCUGUCAGCAUCAGAGUUCUUCAUUGCAAGAAAAAGAAGCAGAUUCUCGUUAAAUUAAACAGGGAGAAAUUUAUUGGAAAGAUAGACAACAUUCCCAGAAUCAAUCAGAGAUGGACAAUCAGCCUCCCAGAUGUACAUUCCACAAAAACACACUCAGUGGAGGAAAAUAAAUUCUCCAACUGAGAGGCUACUCUUCGGAAAGAGAAAUACAUUCUGAAUAGCAAAAUGUGUCUGUAGGAAUCAGAUAAUUUCCUAAGAGGAGUGUUUCACCACUAGAUGAUAAACAAUGAUCUAUGGGAGUGGUGAGGAAGCCAGAUCAGAGAAGGCACCACAGAUUCGGAAGAGCAAGGAGAGGCUCCAGUGACUGGAGACACGCUUCACAGGGUCUGCACAAGCCCACUGUUGAAUAAUGGCAUAAAAUAAAAACGAAUAUAAAUCAAUGAGAAAAAUUAUGAAACACAGCACAUGCAACAACAGCAAAGAAUUAAAUCUCUGAAGUUAAAGUUAACUAAAAGCAUGUCAGUGAUCAGUGAUCAACGAGGUUGGACGCACAUAGUCAACCAACUUGUUUUCUUCCUUUUAUUGUGCUAUUAAUAUAAUAAAAAACUUGGAGAGGAAUUUAUU
This is a long non-coding RNA of Equus asinus (donkey), 702 nucleotides long. The record is from Ensembl. NCBI's taxonomy places the organism in Eukaryota, Metazoa, Chordata, Mammalia, Perissodactyla, Equidae.